UAAUACGUAGGGAGCGAGCGUUACCCGGAAUUACUGGGCGUAAGGAGCGCGUAGGCGGCUGGGUAAGUCUCUUGUGAAAGCUCCCGGCUUAACUGGGAGAGGUCAAGGGAUACUACCCGGCUUGAGGGCAGUAGAGGAAGGCGGAAUUCCUGGUGUAGCGGUGAAAUGCGUAGAUAUCGGGAGGAACACCAGUGGCGAAAGCGGCCUUCUGGACUGUGCCUGACGCUGAGGCGCGAGAGCGUGGGGAGCAAACUGGAUUAGAUACCCAGGUAGUCCACGCCCUAAACGAUGGAUGCUAGGUAUAGGGGGUAUCGACCCCUCCUGUGCCGCAGCUAACGCGAUAAGCAUCCCGCCUGGGGACUACGGCCGCAAGGCUA
RNAcentral lists this ribosomal RNA (377 nucleotides) under uncultured Chloroflexota bacterium. RNAcentral describes it as "bacterial SSU rRNA". It matches the Rfam family "Bacterial small subunit ribosomal RNA", at positions 521 to 896 of the family's 1533-position model. Lineage: Bacteria; Bacillati; Chloroflexota. The record is from RNAcentral.